CAAGCUCGAGAUGGGGCGGGGGUCAGCACAGAACCUUGAGAGCCGCUGCGGCCCGACCUGGGGCGACUGCAGGACGGCGGGGCGGGGCAGAUGGUGGGAUCCCAGGCCGGGACGAAGCUUGUGACGCCGCGGGGCAGGGCCGCGGUUUUGUAGGUGGGGUGGCGGAUCCCAAACGCAGCCACUACGCUAUCGCCCUUGGGUUUCUUGGGCAAACAACUCAGGCCUGCGUGUUUGCAACUCCAGGGUCUUCCAUCUCUUGGGCCAGCUGCAGACUCUACCCGGGGAAAUGUCCAAAAUGCACACGCUUAGAUGCACACGCAUCCUUACCAGCACGAAAGCACACAUCCACACGCGCGUGCACACACACAUGCGACUUUGCAAAUGUAUUCAGGGAUUCUCAGGCCCGCACCUGAGCACUUGGCUAUCACUUGGUCGCCUCACCGACCAUCCAAGCGCGGCCACACACCUCCCCCUCCCCGGGGGCCACAUCCCCUCCAAGUUGAAGGCUAUGCAAAGCUACAGCGGAUCGCUCCCUGGGUGCGUGGACUGUUCUGCGUGGGGGGCAAGACUCACUCUGAGCACACAGGGUACUGAGAGGAGCGAGGUCGUGAAGAACCCUCUGGGGCCGGCCCCCACGUGUGCAUGGCGAUGGGGAAUUACAAAGGCCAUGGAACUGGCUAAGAAAAAGUGGGGGGAAAGGCCGCAGAGGCCAAUCGCUCUUGCCGGUCCCAACCCCGCACCCGGGGGAGCGAUCGGCCUUUAACAACUGGGUCCCUACCCGGCUGGCGCAGAAGGCUGUGAGGGUCACCGCUGGACGUGGGAGCGGGCAUCCGGCCCAGGCGGGCUACACCACAGAUUGGCUGCGCGGGUGGGAGUGUCACCCGUGGCCAGGGCAGGCUUGAAUUGUCCUCCAGAACACGACCCUCGGGGAGUCAGCCCAAGAGACCGCCCGCCGGAGUCCGAUUUGAGGCAGACGUUCAGACACUUCGACUUCCGCACUCCUGAACUUGGGAGACCAGCGCUCCUCAAAGACGGAAAGAAACUAGAAAAGCGGCUGGGAGCCGAGGCAGGAUGCCAGUGUUUGGUAAAAGGGAGACUUGCGAUCCCAGUACCGGAUGCGGCGAAAACGAAAAUUCGUUCGGUCGCGGGUGGAGGAUCUGGCGGCUGUGAUCAGCCCGCGCGGGGCCGCCUUGGGCGCAGGCGAAGGUGCGCUCACCUUCCCGGCCGGAGCGCCUGCGUCCCGGACGCCGGGGCUGACACGGACCGACCUCGGGCUGAGUCCAGGGGUGGUCGGCAACGCCGGAUACCUCCGGGGUCUUCCUGUGGGACGAGCCGCGGGCCAGAGGGACCCUGCGUUUGCCCGGCGCAAGGCCGCGUCCCUCCCGCCCUCGCGGGCCCCACGAGGGCUGUGCCACGGCUCCACUCACCAGCUCCCGCCACCUGGGUUCCGCUCCGGGACCUCAGCCUCCGGAGCCUCCCGACUUGCCCGCCCACUGGCCUCGCUUUCCUGCGCCCGCAGCCUCCCUGUGGAGUGCGGGGACCCGGGCGGCGACCAGGAGCCGAGUCGGAGGCCAGGCUGGGGCGCCGGCCGGAGCAGCCGGGCUUCCGGGCGCGGGAGAAGGAGGGCGCCCCCUCUCCUCUCAGGGACGUGUCAGUGCUUUGCACUUGGGGCCGGCACGCGGCUAGGGGUCCUUCCCUGAGGCCCCUCGGCCCUGGCGCCCCCCGCCUCGGCCCUUUCGGCGGGUCAGGUCGGCCCUCCACGCUUCCAAGUCCCGGCGCUAGCAGCCGCGGGCGCGGGCGCGGGCGCGGGCGCGGGGUGGGGGGCCCGGCCAGGGGGAGGGGUCUCAGGCCCGUCGGGCCGUCAUUGGUUAAUAUUUUAUUCCGUUGACAUGUUUUCUUACUGCUGAGGCUUCCGACACCUUCUCCCCGGCCCCCCUCCCGGCCGGAGCUUGGCCUGAGCUGUCAAAACCCCGCCCCCGGAGACCCACAAUUGGUCCAAAAAGCGUAAAAUCAGCAAUCAAGGGGGCCUGGCUCGUUAGCGCAGGGGAUCGGAGCAGGGCAGGGCAUGUGAGAUAGUCACAGUUUUCCAGAGAUCACGACAAGAUCUAACCAGUCGCGCGUGGUCCCCGGCGCCGGAGCGGGUCAGCCCAGCCCAGCCCCGAGCAGAGCCCCUCCGCCCCCCGCAUCAGAGCCCCGCGCCCCUUGCGGAGCGCGGGACGGGGAGCCCGGGAGGAGCCUCCGCCGCGCCCGCCGCCCGGGCCGUCCGUCUUCCGCGCGCGCCGCCGCCCGGGCCGGGGGUCCGAGCCGCGCGCCCCCGGCCCCGGCCCCCAGGCGCCCUGGGCCGGAUGUCCCGAUGAGAGAGCCGGCGCUGGCAGCCAGCGCCAUGGCUUACCACCCAUUCCACGCGCCGCGGCCGGCCGACUUCCCCAUGUCCGCUUUCCUGGCGGCGGCACAGCCCUCCUUCUUCCCGGCGCUCGCGCUGCCGCCCGGCGCGCUGGCCAAGCCCCUGCCCGACC
Molecule: long non-coding RNA, 2516 nt
Filed under: Heterocephalus glaber (naked mole-rat)
Lineage: Eukaryota; Metazoa; Chordata; Mammalia; Rodentia; Bathyergidae
Description: lncRNA (ENSHGLG00000043224.1)
Source: RNAcentral